UAUUGGGGAAAAGGAAACAUUUUUUAGGUUUGUCAAAAUAAUUUAUUACACACACACACUCACUCUAAAAAUUGGAUAAGGGCGAUUUGGUAAUUUAAGUCAUUGUCCUGGCCAUGUCAAGCAGAACCAUUCCAAGAUCCUCCGUGUAGCAAAACAGUAGCCAUUGAUCACCUGUCUGCACACACACUCUCUACCAUGCCCAGAAGAAUCCUCCAAGACUACAAUGACCACAUCCUCCACCUCUCUAUCACCUCUAAAAUGGCCCAGCUGGACCAAAAUUCCUACACAAAAACAAAAUAUAUUUUUAAGGUAAAAAAUGGAAGCAAAGAAUUGUCAUCCAAUCACACCUCUCGAAUUCUGUCUCCAAAACAUCCAAAAUGAAAAAAAGAUUGUAUCUUUUUCCAUAAAUGCCCUUUCUUGAACCCCAUUUUCAUAGCUCAUGUUUAAGAGUUUCUUCUUUCCUACAUGGGCUUUUUUGGUUUCUCAAGUAUAGGAGUUUCCCAGAAGCAGAACACAAUUUACAUGACUGGCUGGCUUUGUCCUUGUUGGAGUGAUUUUCUUUGUUCUUUUUAUAUUGUUUUUGCUUCUCUCUCUCUAAAUCUUUGCCCUUUAUAUGUUUCUCUAUGUAGGAUGCGAAAACGGCUGUUUUCUUGUUUAAGUUGAAUUGGGGUUUUGUUUUCUUUGCUUAAUCACCAAGUUUUAGUGAUUUUUUUUAGCGGUUUUCAUCAAGUUUGUGUCUUUAUAUUUUUUUUUCUUUAUAAAAAGAGAAUUUUAAAAAAUAAUAUCCUUAUUUCAACCGGAUUUAUUUCUUGUUAUGCUUUAUUAAAGAGUUUUUAUUGAAUUUUGGGUUAAGAAAUCUAAAGGGUUUCAUUAAUUCUCACCAAAUUUUGCUUUUCUAUACCUUCUUGUCAAUUUUUUUUGGCUUAACUGCAAGAAUUAUAGUGGAGAUACACAAUGUCGAAGAAUAAUAAGAAAAGGGUUGCUGUGAAAUCUCAUCAAUCUCAAUUUGUUGACGAGGGAGCAAUAAAUAGAGUGAAAUAUCAAAACCUACUGGAGGAUUUCUUGGAAUUGCAAAAGGAUUUUGUUUCAAAGAAGAGAAAAUUGCGAACAGUAGAGCAGAAAAGAGAGAUUCUUUCGGCUGAAGUUAGAUUUUUAAGACAGCGGCACAAAUUUUUUAUGAAGAUGCAAUCAGGUAACCUGGUGCAAAGUCUUGUUCCAGAGAAAGAUCCAUGCAUGGAAGAUCUUGUUCCUAAGAUAUCUUCACCUGUAGAAGAUCUAGUUCCUGGGAAAUAUUCAUCUAUGCCAUAUCAAGGGAAGUUUGUUGGGAAGCCAUUGAGUGAAUAACACCUAAGAACGGCUUAAUCAAAGGCAAAAGCGUAGGGAAGAAGAGAAUUUUAUUGCAAGAUCAGUUUCACAAUAUUUGUGCCUGUGGUGGUUCUUUCCUUCCUACAAGCCUUGAAUAUGGACUCAGUAGAUGAUAAUUUCUUCCCUCUCUAAAUUAUGAGUCCCAUAAGGUUGUGUUUCAAUAACAUCCCAGAAUAAUGUUUUUUCCCGUAGUUACUCCCUUUGUUGCACAUUUUAUUGGCAGAUAAUCGGUUGAGUAGUUUCACUGCCUCCUUCACAUUCUCACCUUGUGUUUCUCUUCCUCUGCCUCCACUGUCUUCUCUGACCACUGCCUGUGUUGCCAUGUCUUGGUUGCAUUAACCUAAUAGCACUUCUAGAUUUAGAAUUUCAUUAUAGACUCAUUCCUAGACACCACCAACAAUUAUUCACAUACACACACAUUCCUUGACACCAUCAACAAUUAUGAAACUCAAAAAAUGUAUGUAUCCGCCAACUUGUUUCUUUGCUA
Populus euphratica (Euphrates poplar) is the source of this 1852-nucleotide RNA transcript. RefSeq lists it as uncharacterized. The record is from RefSeq and is a predicted model, not a curated record. The transcript is spliced from 4 exons. Lineage: Eukaryota; Viridiplantae; Streptophyta; Magnoliopsida; Malpighiales; Salicaceae.